UACGGAGGGGGCCAGCGUUGUUCGGAAUCAUUGGGCGUAAAGGGUGCGUAGGCGGCGCGGUAAGUCGGGUGUGAAAUCUCGGAGCUUAACUCCGAAACUGCAUUCGAUACUGCCGUGCUUGAGGACUGGAGAGGAGACUGGAAUUUACGGUGUAGCGGUGAAAUGCGUAGAUAUCGUAAGGAAGACCAGUGGCGAAGGCGGGUCUCUGGACAGUUCCUGACGCUGAGGCACGAAGGCCAGGGGAGCAAACGGG
This 253-nucleotide ribosomal RNA is filed under the name uncultured bacterium. RNAcentral's name for it is "partial 16S ribosomal RNA". It matches the Rfam family "Bacterial small subunit ribosomal RNA", at positions 524 to 776 of the family's 1533-position model. The record is from RNAcentral.